RNAcentral lists this ribosomal RNA (776 nucleotides) under uncultured Neocallimastigales. RNAcentral's name for it is "partial large subunit ribosomal RNA". It matches the Rfam family "Eukaryotic large subunit ribosomal RNA", at positions 23 to 616 of the family's 3401-position model. Lineage: Eukaryota; Fungi; Neocallimastigomycota; Neocallimastigomycetes; Neocallimastigales. The record is from RNAcentral.
AGAGAGAGACAUGCGCGCAUAUCAAUAAGCGGAGGAAAAGAAACUAACAAGGAUUCCCCUAGUAACGGCGAGUGAAGCGGGAAGAGCUCAAAUUUGAAAUCUUAAAGGGUUUCCCUUUACGAAUUGUAGUUUAAAGAAGUGUUUUCUGUUGAGGUUUUGGUAAAAGUUCUUUGGAAUAGGACAUCAUAGAGGGUGAGAAUCCCGUAUUUGACCUUUACUUUCAACUUUGUGAUACACUUUCAAAGAGUCGGAUUGUUUGGGAAUGCAGUCCAAAAUGGGUAGGUAAAUUUCAUCUAAAGCUAAAUAUUGGCGAGAGACCGAUAGCGAACAAGUACCGUGAGGGAAAGAUGAAAAGAACUCUGAAAAGAGAGUUAAACAGUACGUGAAAUUGUCAAAAGGGAAGCGUUUGACACCAGUGUUGUUUUUCUGAAAAUCAAUUAAAGAACUGUUUAUGCUAAGUUGUUUAGACUUUAUCAGCUAAUCUGUUUAGUUUUGAGCUUUUCUUUAAUGCACUUUUCAGUUAACAAGUCAACAUCAAUUUCUUUUGCUGUAAAAAAGCUUGAGGAAGGUGGCUUGAGAUUCGUCUUAAGUGUUUAUAGCCUCUUGCCUAUGCAGUCGGAGAGAUUGAGGUCUGCAGCGUAGAUCCUUCGGGGCUAAAUGCAUUUGUGCUAAGUUAUAGCAUUUUAUAGACAACUUGUUGACUAUGAUUUGUCUUGUAGCUUACUCGCUUAUGUUAUUUUACCUACGCUUAGGAUGUUGAGCGCAUGUCUCUCUCU